This 114-nucleotide ribosomal RNA is filed under the name Propithecus coquereli (Coquerel's sifaka). The record is from RNAcentral. Lineage: Eukaryota; Metazoa; Chordata; Mammalia; Primates; Indriidae.
GUCUACGGCCUACCACCCUAAACGUGCCCGAUCUCGUAUGAUCUCAAAGGCUAAGCAGGGUCGGGCCUGGCUGGUACUCGGAUGGGAAGAGUCAGACGACCGAUGCUGUCUACA